AGGACAACGCGUAUAUUAGUCGAACUGUCCAUGAACUAAUUGUGAGGAUAACUUAAAGUAACUGUGUUGUGCAAAAACUGUGCGUUAGAACUAUUUCAGAUGUGACAAGUCUCGUAGGUAGAGAGAGUUUCGAACCAGAAAACCUCGUUGUCUCCUUUAGCAUGCAGACUGAACGUUUCAGAGAGGAAGGAUCAUAAAUAAUGAAUGAAGAACAUCAGUUUUUUGUCAUAAUUCAUCCAAGGCACGACACGAACUCUGUUUUUUGUUGGCUUUGGAUUGGUUUGAACGCCUCAAACAUGAGCGAUGAGGAGAUGGUUCCCGAAGCCUCGGAUGCCGAACCAGCUGAAGAGGAAAUUCAGGCCGAAGAAUAUGAUAAUGAUCUAACAACGGAACAUACCUACCUCGGACGAGAUCUUGAGACGUUAACUGGCAGGACGUUUACGGAAGAUGGAAGCAUACAGUCAAUGUUAGUAUUUCAAGAGCUCCCAAUGCUUAUUCCUGGCGAAACUCUCCCUCUGAAAUUCUACCAUCCGGGAAAAAUUAAAUUAUUAAGCAACGUUAUCAAAAGAAAGCAGUUAUUCGGCGUGCUUCAUCCAGGCCAGAAGCAAUAUGGCACGACAGCGGAGAUCCGGAACUACAAGUUAGUAGUACAAGGCAGUGCGGAGCCGCGUCCCUGUCUCACAGUUAUAGCGGAAGGGAUAAAGCAAUUCCAGCUCAUGGAGGAACUCUUAAGACAUCAGCUCCGUUUUGUAAAGGUGCAAAUACUGAAAGACGUUACACUUCAAUCCCCUGAGAAACGGCUGCUGCUUGAACGGCAAAGGGAUCGCGGUCUGAUGACAACCUGCUCACCAUGGCCAAGAUUCUUAUACAACCAAUUUGACAAAAAAUAUCUAGUUCAGAAAGUCUCAGAAGCGAUAGCGCCCUUCGUGAAGAAGAAGAUCCCACCGUGCACGGAUCCAGUCAAGUUUUCCUAUUGGGCAGCUGCCAACUCGCCUGUUAAUUCACAUGAGCGGCGACUUCUACUCGCGGCAAGCUGCACUCAGGAUCGACUACGGAUGGCCCUUGUAUACCUCAGUUUAAACUGUGAUAUCUGCUGUAAAGGUUGCCAUGAAGUUAUCAGUAGCAAAGCAUAUAUUAUCUCAAUGUCACGAAGCGGGGCACAGGGCACAUUUGUAAACAGAGUGGGUUAUGUGCAUAAUUUGUUGACGGUUGGUCAAAUACGGCGGAUAAUUUAUCAGGGGGCAAGAGAUGAAUCAUUUUCAUGGUAUCCUGGAUAUGCAUGGACCAUUGGUAAUUGCUCGGAAUGUCAUCGACAUCUGGGGUGGAAAUUUGACACAGUCAAGCACCUCAAGCCCGCAACCUUUUGGGCUCUUAGUCGAGAGAAUAUUGAAUUCCGAGUCCUGAUGACUCAAGACAGACUCACUGCAGCACAGGAAACGGCCGAACUGUUUGCCGAGCAGGAAAACGACGAGGAUGCUGAUGACCAGGGAGCUCUGCAUGAAAAUUUGUACUGGUUUUAGUCACCGGUUGGGCAUUCAGAGGUAGAUGUUCUGCACUUCUUCCACCCUUAUUAAGGAGUAGUGCCACCUUUGACGUUUUAUGUCAUCACAUUGUAAUGAUAUUUCUGGAUGGGAGGUAGCUCCUAAAGCUUCUUGUUGUCUCGUCGUCUAAAAGUCUUACAAGGAAGAAGUACGAAGGUACUUGAUGAAGACAGAGAACAUUCGUUGGCUGGCUCGGACAUUUCUGAUUUGACUACACCUUUAUAAAAUGGUUAAUGAUUCUAUUCUAUGGACGAUUAUCAGGUCGCAUCAGGAUUGGACGCAAAUACUUUAUUGGCUUCCGACAACAAGCAAAGAAAGCAAUUUGUUUUGCAAAUAACUGUAAACAUAUUAGUAUAAAUACCUGCGAAGCCCCGUGAACGCUACACAACCUGUUUGAAUAAAGAAAUUUAAUUCCUUCUUUAAAGCUUUUAUUUGAAAUGCACUGUCAAGGCCAACGAAAGCCUGCUAGACGCUUUACAAAAAACUCCACUUGUUUUUAUAAAAAAAAUAAGCUCAAGAUUAAUUAUUAAGGUUUUUGUGUACACUUAUGAAAUGUAGGAACCAACUUCAAAUGCGUUCGUGGUGCUGUUGAAGUAGAUUUAUCCCUGUUGCGGACAUAUUGACAGAACUAAUGUAUCUAAUUAAAAUACAGUCUGUGGUCGAUCAAAUACGCCCGAAUAAAUUGAGUGAAAUAGUCCGAAGGCCAACUGCGCAAUACUAAGAUUUCUUAAAAAGAAAAACUUUUGGCUUAUAAAAGCGGUAUUAUCUAUCUUAAACCUAAUACCCGGCAGGCUACUACCCUACAUGUCGAUAAUACAUCUGCAAGCAUUUUCAGACUGCUGACAAACCCUCUCUUAUAUUAAACAUUUCUUGGCAAGUUUACGGUCCUUGAUCCCAGCCUCGUAAAGUCGGCGACGAAGUGUAUCUCCGAUAUAAAAUCCACGGGUUUUUAGUUUGUUCUGGAAGAUAUUAUACGAGACGAACCUUUUAUUGUAUUUUAUAAUAACACAAUCCUCCUGCUUUGUAGUGAUUUUUAAUACCGACCUUACGCGACACCAGCUGGAGGUUUUCUCUGAGCUAUCUACGUUGGCGAUUGCAUACUUAAAAACAUGAAACAUUUAAGCAGUUUCGCGUUGUGCGCCUUUGUUUUAACAAGGCCGUCUACUAAAAUGUGUUCUGCUCCCAAGUGGGAUCUGUUCCUUUUCUCAUCUCGACACUUGUACGAAAACGUUCAAACCUAUCAAGCUCACUUAGAUAACACCACCUAGUUCUUCAGCACCGACAACAAUCGUGUGAGAUGAUGAGAUAGAGCGCAUCGGCUAUACGUACUACGAGAUCUCAGCACAAAUCUGAUUACCAUACGCUAUCAUAUUUGCAAUUUUCGAAAUACAGUAUGUCAAUGUGAAAAAGAAUCAUGCCGCUUCCGUAAGCUAACGCCCACUUGAAAAUAUCCUCUUUGUAUACUGCGCAGUUCGCCAGUUUGACUGAAUUUAUCUUAACAAAAGAAUAUUGUCGUUUACUUAAUUAUGAAUUCUAAACGCAGCGUAUGAUAAUUUAUGAUAAGUAUCCGUUACCUAACAUAAAUCUCAUAUUUUGGAAACUAAAGUAUAUCAAGAAUAACAAUGAAACCUGGCAGGAACCGUGAGAUGUUUGAGUUAAGUUAUCCUGAACUAACUAUUCAAUCCACGUGGCUCUAAUAAGAUGUAUUAAUUAUGCUGGCUUUAUUGAGAUGUUUUUUGUAUAUAAUGAUAGUAAUUAGCAUAAUUGUAGUAACGUAUAUUUACAUUAAGAAUGCUAGGUAUCCAUUAUAACUAGUCGUGAUCAGAGCUGCAAGACCUAAAAGAACAGAAAAGUGAGGCAUAGCUUCAGGAAGGUCGUGCCUCGUAGUUACCUUGUAAGUUAUUCUGAUACUUAUAAGAUCUCUACUUAGAUCUCUACGGAGUAGUGAUCUAUGCAAUUUUCGACAUAAAAGCUUAGCUUUUAGCACAGCGCUGAGGUGCUAAACUGCUUAAUCCACAGCCUGCCAUUUCUAAAAAUACAUGCGAACACAAAAAGGUACGUAAUCAUAAAUUAAUUUGCCUGGUGCAUCGUUUCUAUAGACCCAUUACUAAACAAAUGCAGGAAAGGUAAUUGGUGUACUCGAAACAGAGAUCGAGAAAUUGAAAAACAAGGUAGCCAGAAAGGAGUAAGGUAUAAAAGUUUUCGAUAGGGAGCACAAAUACAAGAACUCUUCGAGAGUAAGCCCUUAUUUUUUGUAGCUAAUUCUCGAAUGUCUUCUUUAUGACAGGCCUUACUACCGCUGUUUUAACAUACUCUUAAAUACCUUUCGGGAAAAACGACUCACUAUGAGCAAUCGGAAGAGAUAAUAUGGACAAUCUUCUAGUUCUAGGUACGAUGCAGAAGAGAUCCUCGAUCUAAGAAAUUAUGAGAGAUUAAUUUUAUCAUAAACUAGCAAAGCCUUCUAGAAGGAAACCUAUGCAAAGAAAUAAUGCGUUGCAUGUGUCCCGUUUAAUGUAGGAAAUUAAACUCAUGAAGCUUCUUUUCGAUUAGUUCCACGUAUACUUAUUUACCAUAAAGUAAGAAAAAUAAAAAUCUGGUGCGAUUUAGGUGAUCGCAUAGUACAGUUCACUAAUUGGGUUUCAAUUAACCUCAAGUUCAGCACAUUUCUCACGCAAAAUAUAUCAUCUAGAAAACAAUAGUUAAGUGAAAUCAUAAUAAUAUAAACAAUUCCGACGAAAAUGAGCUCUCCUCUUCAGUUGAGGUGAGUGAAUACCUCAUUCCAAUUAAAAGUAAAUUCACCCCUUCAGUCAAGGUGGCUGUACGCCGAUAAGCAAUCUAUAGAAAAAUCUCGUUUUCAAGAAAUGACAGUGACCUCGAAUGAACAGUGGACCUCGUCGAAAAAUAAAAAAAAUAUGGUCGACGAUAUUUCGACGAGGUCGAAAUAUCGUCGACCAUAUUUUUUACUGCAUAUCCCUUAAAUCACUUUAACCUUUAUACUAACUUUUCGCCUUUUCUUAAAGCCUGAGGAACAACUUAGGACUGUUUGGGAAAUCAAACGGAGAACAUCCCGGAGAGUGCUAUUCGUUUUGAUUUUAUUGCACAGUUUGUUCGGAGUUUGACCGGCGACAACUAAACCUUUCUUGUUCCAAUGGGCGACUCAGUGAACACAUCACAUAUUUACUACAUCUGUUACGAUAUUAAAAUGCGAGAGUGCUAAAUAACAAAUUAAGAUAAUAUGUUGUGUAUUAUUACUGUCCCUUAUAUCACGAUUUAGGUAGUAGAAACUAGGCGGAGAAUUUAUCGAGGUGUCACGAAAACUGCCUAGG
Non-coding RNA from Varroa destructor (honeybee mite), 4867 nucleotides. The record is from RefSeq and is a predicted model, not a curated record. NCBI's taxonomy places the organism in Eukaryota, Metazoa, Arthropoda, Arachnida, Mesostigmata, Varroidae.